This 69-nucleotide transfer RNA is filed under the name Urocitellus parryii (Arctic ground squirrel). Its description in RNAcentral is "Spermophilus parryii (Arctic ground squirrel) tRNA". It matches the Rfam family "tRNA". Rfam says of the family: Transfer RNA (tRNA) molecules are approximately 80 nucleotides in length. Their secondary structure includes four short double-helical elements and three loops (D, anti-codon, and T loops). Further hydrogen bonds mediate the characteristic L-shaped molecular structure. tRNAs have two regions of fundamental functional importance: the anti-codon, which is responsible for specific mRNA codon recognition, and the 3' end, to which the tRNAs corresponding amino acid is attached (by aminoacyl-tRNA synthetases). tRNAs cope with the degeneracy of the genetic code in two manners: having more than one tRNA (with a specific anti-codon) for a particular amino acid; and 'wobble' base-pairing, i.e. permitting non-standard base-pairing at the 3rd anti-codon position. RNAcentral also lists the same sequence under 2 other names. The record is from Rfam by way of RNAcentral. Lineage: Eukaryota; Metazoa; Chordata; Mammalia; Rodentia; Sciuridae.
GGGGCUGUAGCUCAGAGGCAGAGCGCUUGCCUAGCAUGCAUGAAGCACUGGGUUUGAUCCUCAGCACCA